This 497-nucleotide ribosomal RNA is filed under the name uncultured bacterium. RNAcentral's name for it is "partial 16S ribosomal RNA". It matches the Rfam family "Bacterial small subunit ribosomal RNA", at positions 28 to 507 of the family's 1533-position model. The record is from RNAcentral.
GAUGAACGCUGGCGGCGUGCCUAAUACAUGCAAGUCGAGCGAACAGACGAGGAGCUUGCUCCUCUGACGUUAGCGGCGGACGGGUGAGUAACACGUGGAUAACCUACCUAUAAGACUUGGAUAACUUCGGGAAACCGGAGCUAAUACCGGAUAAUAUAUUGAACCGCAUGGUUCAAUAGUGAAAGACGGUUUUGCUGUCACUUAUACAUGGCUCCGCGCCGCAUUAGCUAGUUGGUAAGGUAACGGCUUACCAAGGCAACGAUGCGUAGCCGACCUGAGAGGGUGAACGGCCCCACUGGAACUGAGACACGGUCCAGACUCCUACGGGAGGCAGCAGUAGGGAAUCUUCCGCAAUGGGCGAAAGCCUGGCGGAGCAACGCCGCGUGAGUGAUGAAGGUCUUCGGAUCGUAAAACUCUGUUAUUAGGGAAGAACAAAUGUGUAAGUAACUAUGCACGUCUUGACGGUACCUAAUCAGAAAGCCACGGCUAACUACGUG